GACGAACGCUGGCGGCGUGCCUAAUACAUGCAAGUCGAGCGGAAACAUUGGAGCUUGCUCCUUUGGUUUAGCGGCGGACGGGUGAGUAACACGUGGGCAACCUGCCCUGCAGAUCGGGAUAACUUCAGGAAACCGGUGCUAAUACCGGAUAGUUUGCGGCCCCUCAUGGUGCUGCACGGAAAGAUGCUUUCGUCUGUGAUUGACGGACGGGUCCGCGGCGCAUUGGUUAGUUGGUGAGGUAACGGCUCUCCAACGCCACGAUGCGUAGCCGACCUGAGCGGGGGAUCGGCCACACUGGGACUGAGACACGGCCCAGACUCCGACGGGAGGCAGCAGUAGGGAAUCUUCCGCAAUGGACGAAAGUCUGACGGAGCAACGCCGCGUGAGUGAAGAAGGUUUUCGGAUCGUAAAACUCUGUUGUGAGGGAAGAACAAGUACCAAGUAACUACUGGUACCUUGACGGUACCUCACCAGAAAGCCACGGCUAACUACGUG
Molecule: ribosomal RNA, 495 nt
Filed under: uncultured bacterium
Lineage: Bacteria
Description: partial 16S ribosomal RNA
Rfam family: Bacterial small subunit ribosomal RNA
Source: RNAcentral